AUUAACCUCAUGAAUGCAGUUCCUCUUUUUUCUGUUAUAAAAAUAAGCUAUAUAAAUCAUCCAUUUGUCUCUGAUCCCUGAGGAAUCACUAGACCUGAUUUACAUAGUAACCUGAUGGCUUUUCUAUUGGAUCAUUGUGCUCAGAGUAGUCUAUUUCACAUAAUCAAUUUAAACUGCUAGCACCUGAGAGAAGACCCGAGGAAAUCGACUCCAGUCUUCCCCAAGUGGCCCUCUCUGAGGAAUUUGCCCAAGAGGGUUCCGGUGAUUUCAUACUGAGCGAUUUCCUCUGGGAGAACUGCCUUGGGGACCUGGACUUUCCUCUUGGCCCAGAAUCAUCCCUCUUCUGAGCUAAGUCUAGAACCUGAAGAAGGAGUUCAUAGAAGACAUCUCUGCAAGGAACCUUACAGCCAAAAUGGAGAAGGAUUUUACUAGGUCACCAAAGACUACAGAACUGGGAAUCAAUACUGUGUUCCAAGGCAGAAGAGCAGUAAAGUCUAGGCAAUGGGGGUUAAGUGACUUGCCCAGGGUCACACAGCAACGAAACAGUUCUGAGAACCUGUCUAUGCAAAGGAGACUUCUACAGAAGAAGAAGGAGAACACUGAAGCUUACAUUUGCACUCAAAGGAUUUGAAGGACAUGAUGGACUUUGGGAAAAGGGGUAGUUUUAUUGUUAAGAUGUUGCCAAAGGCAGAGUGCCUGUCUUCUGGCUAUCUGUCAAUGUGUCACUGUAGAUGGGGAGUGCCCUCAGAUGCCAACUGUCCAUACUUAUGCCUCUUGUCUCCUACCUUUAGUAACAGAGGGUCAAACUCUCUUGUGUGGUCAGUGGCACCCUGACCAAAAGGGGGAAGUGUCCUGUGUGCUUAUGGAACCCUCCAGUUUGCUCCUGACCCUGAUUUCCUCUAUUCAUGAGAAGUAUUUACUGAUUACAUCAACCAAUCCACAUCUCUUUAUUUUUAUCACUGUCCUGAAUCAUUUUUGGACUGGUAUAAAAGUUGUCUAAUUCUUUCAGGUAUAGAUGAAGUUCUCUCACAGUGCUUGAGGGUCUUCUGGUCUUGACCAGAGGUCUGGCUUUAUUUUGGGACUUGGUCUCAUAAUAAACCUAAUUCUUUAUGCUUUGGAGACUUUGACUUAGUUUCAUUAAAUUGAGAUCUUGUGGCUAGAAAUUAGACAACACUGUUUCCCCAGCCUCUGGUACAGUCUCUUUCCUAAGCCUGCUUGUAAAUAGUCAGUGUAUGUUUCUUGUCCUGAAUUCCCCAAAAGGUACAUAAGACCCCAAGUUCUUUUGCCCCCUGGAAAAUCUCCUUUGGCAGAGACAUUAUUCCCAGAGUCCCAGAGCUUUUUCUCUGUGUAGUAUUCAAGCUUGACUCUGUGUUAUGGCCAAAUCUUGAGCAUUUAUCUCUCUUGUCCUUAAAGAUUUUAAGAUUAAACAUUAAAGACUUGUUCUUUUUAACUACUUUAGUGGUUCUGUGUUUUUCAGGGUUGACACCAUAGAAGAAUAUCUGAGCCAGGAAGAAUAGAAAAACUUAAAAAAGGUAAUUAGGAGCACAUUAUAGAAAAAUUGUGGAAAGAAAAAACUGGGACCCCCGGAAAGAGAACAGUUUUAGGGGUAGUG
Non-coding RNA from Monodelphis domestica (gray short-tailed opossum), 1612 nucleotides. NCBI's taxonomy places the organism in Eukaryota, Metazoa, Chordata, Mammalia, Didelphimorphia, Didelphidae. The record is from RefSeq and is a predicted model, not a curated record.